CGUAGACCGCUGCGGCGUGCCUAAUACAUGCAAGUCGAGCGAAUGGAUUAAGAGCUUGCUCUUAUGAAGUUAGCGGCGGACGGGUGAGUAACACGUGGGUAACCUGCCCAUAAGACUGGGAUAACUCCGGGAAACCGGGGCUAAUACCGGAUAACAUUUUGAACCGCAUGGUUCGAAAUUGAAAGGCGGCUUCGGCUGUCACUUAUGGAUGGACCCGCGUCGCAUUAGCUAGUUGGUGAGGUAACGGCUCACCAAGGCAACGAUGCGUAGCCGACCUGAGAGGGUGAUCGGCCACACUGGGACUGAGACACGGCCCAGACUCCUACGGGAGGCAGCAGUAGGGAAUCUUCCGCAAUGGACGAAAGUCUGACGGAGCAACGCCGCGUGAGUGAUGAAGGCUUUCGGGUCGUAAAACUCUGUUGUUAGGGAAGAACAAGUGCUAGUUGAAUAAGCUGGCACCUUGACGGUACCUAACCAGAAAGCCACGGCUAACUACGUGCCAGCAGCCGCGGUAAUAA
This 518-nucleotide ribosomal RNA is filed under the name Bacillus cereus. RNAcentral describes it as "bacterial SSU rRNA". It matches the Rfam family "Bacterial small subunit ribosomal RNA", at positions 31 to 526 of the family's 1533-position model. The record is from RNAcentral. Lineage: Bacteria; Bacillati; Bacillota; Bacilli; Caryophanales; Bacillaceae.